RNAcentral lists this unclassified non-coding RNA (647 nucleotides) under Hevea brasiliensis (rubber tree). Lineage: Eukaryota; Viridiplantae; Streptophyta; Magnoliopsida; Malpighiales; Euphorbiaceae. The record is from RNAcentral.
ACAUUUUUAUAUUAUUAUAAAUUGAAAGAAAAUUAAUAAUUUUCAGCAUGCUCCAAACAUUAGAAAAUAAUUUUCCUUUACUUUUCAGCAUUGCAGCUAAAUAAUGGAAAAUAAGAUGUUAUUUUUCUUCAAAAACAUUUUUCAUAGGCAAGUUAUUUUCCAAACAACAAAUGAAGCCUUAAUACUGACAAAUUUAUUUAGUUUAUUGCAUGCUGCUCAACAUAUUAAUAAAACAUAAACAUACUAUUGAGCAAUUAUGCUUCAGAAAGUGGGAUUUGAACUAUAAGAAAGCAUAUAUAUUAUUGAAUUGAUUGCUUUUGGUUAUAAAUUUGUAAAUAUUGUAAUUAGGCUCAUUUUGGUUUUCCCUUUAUCAAGAAUUCGAAGACUAACAAGAAAGUUCCCCAGAAAUUGCCUUCUAAUCUGAUUGGAUGGCAGCAAUAUCUACUUGCAAAAUGCAAUUGGGUUAUGAAAUUCUCAGUUCAAACCCAACAAGCAUUUUGAGAUUUGUUGGCUAACAUAACUGUAAAUAUGUAACAAAUAGGCGCACAUAUAACUUAAAAAAGAAAAAGGGAAUAAACAGGCCUUUAAGGCCAUUUCUUCAAAAGCAUAAUAAUUUAAGCCUUACCAGCCUUCAGGGAUGAAAAGUG